CUCAUUAAUUCAAAACUCUGAGCUGCAUUAUUAUUUGGUAUAUUUUGAAGUGAAGGAAGUGAAUUGAGGAGAAAGGGUAGUGAAAGUAUUGUUUAUGAUCCAUUCUCAGUGCUCUCUUUGAAGCUUUUUUCGGAGUCUCUGGCUACUUUAGUUGUCCUCAUAGUGUGGUCAGUGUUGCUCGGUAUUACGAUUUGGAACGGUGGAACGUAAAGGCAAAUCACAGCUUAACGAGGCACCAGUUCUACAUUUCCGGUGUAGAGAACAAUCGUUUGAACCGAUCCGUUUAAGAUUCUGAACUGUUUGUAGAACGUUGAGACCCCGCUUAGAAGGAGAACCCUAGCCCAUAUCUGAGAACGUUCGAUCACCUUUAAGAGGAUGUAGUCCCACCUUGUAGAAGAUAACCAGGCUCCAAGGAUGGAUUGGUCCAGCGUUGUAGUACAAGGGAUUCGUUUUGUAUGGAGACACGGUGUUCGACACGUGACUUACAUAGUCUGUUAUAAGCAAAGUGUUCAUGAACUGAAGGAUAGUGUUAAGGAUCUAGAAAAUGAAAAAGACAAGAUAGAUCAUCAAUGUGAUGAGGCUUAUAAAAAUCUAAAAAACAUUGAAGGUAAGGUUAUUGAAUGGAGUCGAAAAGUGAGUGAAAUUAAGACUAUAGUGGAGGAGUUUGAGAAUGAUGAUGGCCACAAAAGGGCCAGAUCACUCAAUUGUUAUGUUUUUUCGUACUUGUGGAAUAGACACAGGUUAGGAAGACAAGCAAAGAAGAUGGAAGUGGGUGUUAAACAGCUAAUUAAUGAGUCCCCUGGGUUAGAUGAAAUUUCCUAUAGGGAAAAUGUAACAUCUAAUGAUACCACAUUGUCUAAUUCUGGCUUUGAAGAAUUCAGUUCUACAAAAUCCACAAUGGAAAAAGUAAUGAGACAACUUGAAAAUUCCAGUGUGAGAAUGAUUGGAUUGUAUGGGGAAGGAGGUGUGGGUAAGAGUGCUUUAAUCAAAGAAAUUGCAAGGAUAGCUAAAGACAAGUUGUUUAAUGUGGUGGUUAAAGUAGAAAUAACAGCGAAUCCCAAUCUGCAGAGCAUCCAGGAAGAAAUUGCUUAUAUGUUACAACUGCAAUUGGAAGGGGAAGGGGAAAAUGUGAGAGCUGAUUGUCUACGGAGGAGGUUAAAGAAAGAAAAAGGAAACACCCUUUUAAUCUUGGAUGACCUUUGGCAUAAAUUAGAUCUAAACAAGUUAGGGAUUCCAAGUGAUGAUAAUGAUGAUUUAAGUAAUGAUACGAGGGGUCUUAAUGAUAAAUUCUUGAAAAAGGACAAAAAUAACAUGGAUCAUCAUAAGACAGUAUUGAAAAGAGAAAAAAUCAUUGGCGGUCAUAAGGAGUGCAAAAUUUUGCUCACUGCACGUCAAAAAAGAGUAUUAGAAAUUGAAAUGGAUGUAAAAUCGACUUUCCGUGUAGAGCCAUUAGAUGACAAGGAUGCUUUGAUGUUUUUUCAGAAGUUGUCUGGAAUACAUAACAUGUCAGACUCUAGAAAAGAAAUUGUGACGAAGUAUUGUGCAGGGUUACCAAUGGCAAUAGUAACAGUUGCAAAGGCAUUAAAAGGUAAGAGUGAGUUAGUAUGGGAAGCAGCACUUGAAAAACUUAAAAAGCAGGAAUUGGUGGGAGUUCAAACAUAUAUGGACAUUUCAGUGAAGAUGAGUUAUGAGCAUCUAGAAAAUGAGGAGAUCAAAUCCAUUUUCUUACUUUGUGCUCAAAUGGGCCAUCAACCACUGAUUAUGGACUUGGUGAAGUGUUGUUUUGGUUUGGGUAUACUUGAAGGGGUCUCCUCACUUUGGGAAGCUCGAGACAAAAUCAAGAUAACAAUCCAAAAGCUAAAAGACUCGGGCUUACUAUUGGAUGGAAAUUCUGAUAUUCAUUUCAAUAUGCAUGAUAUAGUUCGAGAUGCUGCUUUGUCUAUAGCAAACAAGGACAAAAAUGUUUUUACUUUAAGAAAUGGAAAAGUAGAUGAGUGGCCUGAACUCAGGAGAUGCACUUCUAUUUCUAUAUGCAAUUGUGAUAUCAUUGACGAGCUUCCUACAGUCAAAUGUUCUCGACUUAAUUUUUUUCAAAUAGACACUAAUAAUCAAUCUUUGACAAUACCUGAGAAGUUUUUUGAAGGAAUGAAAAAUCUCAAAGUUUUAAUAUUGACCGGUUUUCAUCUAAAAAGAUUUCCACCUUCGAUCAAAAGCUUAUUAAAGCUCAGAAUGCUUUGUUUGGAACGGUGCACUUUAGAGGACAACUUAUCCAUAGGAGAGCUAAAAAAGUUAAGAAUUCUUAGCUUCUCUGGAUCCCAACUUAAAAGUUUGCCAACUGAAUUGGGGUGCUUGGAUAAGUUACAACUGUUAGACAUCAAUGAUUGUUCUAUACUAGAGAUUAACAUUCCACCUAAUAUUUUAUCAAGUUUGACACAUUUAGAAGAGUUGUAUAUAAGGAAAAGCUUGACCAAAAUGUUGGUGGAAGGAGAGCCAAGCCAUGGUCAAAAUUCGAUUCUUUGUGAGCUGAAGAAUUUGCAUCAGUUAAAAGUUGUGGACUUAAGCAUCCCAUGUUUUUCACUUUUGCCUAAUCACUUGUUCUUUGCCAAGUUAAAAGAUUACCAAAUUGUUGUUGGAGACGUGGAAAUGUUUUCUAUUAUAGGCUUUAAGAUGUUUGAUAAGUACGAAACGUUCAGAGUUUUGGCAUUACAACUGAAUCAUGACACUAACAUUCACUUCCAAGAAGACAUAAAAUUGUUGUUUAAAACAGUACAAAGUUUGUUAUUGGGAAAGGUAGAUGAUGUUGUUGAAGCUGUUAAUAAGUUGAAUAUGGAUGGAUUUCCAGAUCUGAAACACUUAUCCAUCAUAGAUAGCAAUGCCAUCAAAUAUGUCAAUUCAAUGGAAUUGUCUAAUUGUAUAAAUGCUUUUCCCAAUUUGGAAUCUCUAUGCCUUUACAAUCUGAAGAACUUGGAAAUGAUAUCUAAUGGUCCACUUACAGUUGCUUCAUUCGCCAAAUUAAAGUCCAUCAAGGUGAAUAUGUGUGAUCGAUUGGUGAGUCUCUACUCCGUUUACAUGGUGGAAUUUGCUAAUAGUGAAGUACCAUGUAAGAUUUGUAAAUAUAAUUCUUACUUGGAUAAAUUUUGUGCUAGCCUAAAAACAAUCGAGGUUUCUGAAUGUGAAUCUUUAAAGGAAAUCUUUCGAAUACCAAAGAAAUGUUAUAAGGUUAAGUUUCUAAAGUUGCAGACUUUGACAUUCCAAAAGUUACCAUCAUUAACAUGUUUUUAUACCAAAGUGGAGAAGUCUUGCUGGCUACAUCCGACAAAGCCUCAAACUAAAAGUAGUGGUAGUGAAGAAGAUCAAAAAAGUUACCAGGCACCUCCACUUUUUGGUGAACAAGUUGAAAUUCCAAACUUAGAGAGCUUGAAUUUAUGCUCACUCAACAUCCAUAAGAUAUGGAGCGAUCAACUCUCGUCAAGUUUCUGCUUUCAAAACUUGAUAAAACUAGUUGUGAAAGAGUGUGAUAAAUUGACAUACUUAUGUUCGUUGUCUGUGGCUAGUAGUUUAAAGAAGCUGAAAAGCCUUAUCAUAAGUGAAUGUCCAAUUAUGGAGAAGAUUUUUGAGACAAAUGAAAAUAAUGCAGAUAAGGUUUGCGUCUUCCCUAAGUUGGAGGAAAUCCACCUUAGCAAAAUGAGGAGACUAAGAGAUAUAUGGCAUACUAAAGUGAACAUUGAUUCUUUUUCUAGUCUCAUUUCGGCGAACAUUGAUGAGUGCAAUAAACUAGACAUGAUUUUUCCAAGUAACAUGGAAGGAUGGUUUGAAAGUUUGAUUAACUUGAAAAUUUCUAGAUGCAAGUCCGUGAAAGAAAUUUUUGAAGUUAGAGAUUCUAAAGAAAUAGAUGUAUCUGGUGGGAUAGACACAAAUCUGCAGGUUAUUCUUCUUGAAAACCUCCCGAAAUUGAAGGAAUUGUGGAGCAAAGAUCCUCAUGGAAUUCUCAAUUUUAAAAAACUUCGGACUAUAGAUGUAAGUUAUUGUGAUGAAUUGAAGAAUUUGUUUCCAGCUUCUAUGGUAAAAGAUGUAUCAAAGCUUGAACAUAUGUCAAUAUUACAUUGUGAGAGGAUGAAGGAAAUUGUUUCAAGUAAAGAUGCAUCAGAAGCUAACAAUGAUCCAUUAGAGUUUCCUGAACUAACCUAUGUGAGAUUGUAUUCACUACCGAAUAUCAAACAUUUCUAUAAGGGGAGACAUAUGAUAAAGUGUCCAAAAUUGAAGGAGUUAGCUGUGAACCGCUAUUUGAAGCUUAAAGCAUUUUCCAAAGAAAUCGUUAAAACAACAGAGGAAGAAGAAAGUUUUGUUUUCUCAGCUCAAAAGGUAUUCCCCAACUUGGAGUAUAUGGAAAUUGACUUCGAGGAAGCACAAAAUUUGUUACCCAAGUAUCAAAUGCACCGUCUAAAAGAACUUAAUUUGAUUUCAGUAGAAAGUGUUGAUUUUCUUAACCAGUUUCCAUACAGAAUGCCAAAUCUUGAAAAGCUAAAAUUGGCUUUUCCUUACUCGUCCAAAGUGUUAAAUCCAAGAGCAAAUUUAGCACAGCAAGAAGGAUUGGUAAUCGCAUUAGAGCUGAAGGAGUUAGUUGUGAUGUAUUCAGGGAUAACGGAUCUAGGAUUUCCAAUUCUAGGAAGACUAGAGGUUUUAAGCUUAAUUGGGUGCGACAAAUUGAGCAAUUUAGAUCCUCCCUCUUUAUCUUUUACAUACUUGACAUGUUUGAAACUGACCAAUUGUUCGGGAUUAAGGAACUUAAUGACAUUCUCCACCGCCAAAAACAUGGUUCAACUCAAGACUCUGAAGGUAAUCCGUUGUUCUAAUGUAGAGGAAAUAGUAAGCAAUGAGCUGAGUGAAGAAGGCAUAGAGAUGAAAAUUGAAUUUAGCAAAUUGAUUACCAUAGAACUUGUGAAACUAGACAACCUUGCAAGUUUUUGCAGUUGCAAGCACUCUGAAUUUGAAUUUCCAUCACUGGAAAUAUUGAUUGUAAGAGAAUGCUGUAAGAUGGAGAAAUUCAGUGAAAGAGAUCCAAUAACACCAAAGUUAAAAAAUAUAUUUGGUGUGGAAGGAGAUGAAAAAGCCAAAUGGCUCUGGGAAGGCAACUUGAAUGACACCAUACAUAAAAUUUUCACCGAUAAGGUCUAUUUCACAUACAGUGACGAUCUUUGGCUUGACAGUAGUACUGAAUAUAUUAUAGAGCAACUAUGGCAUGGCAGUGAUUGGAUGCAGCAAAAUUGCUUUGAUUAUUUGAAAACGUUGACUAUAUUCGGAUGUGAUAGUGUAGUGCAUGUAAUUCCAUCUCAUUUGCUUUCUUGCUUUCACAAUUUGGAAGAAUUAGAAGUAGUGAAUUGUGCAGCAGCACAGGUCAUUUUUAAUAUCGGCGAUGAGAACAGGGUGAUGACAAAACCUUCAGGAAUAUUCCGUCCGAAAAAAUUGUUUUUAGAUCUCCUACCAAAACUGGAGCAUGUAUGGGACAAGGAUCCGGAGGGAAUCAUUGGCCUUCAACUGCUAAAGAAAAUGAGUGUUAGAAGUUGUGAGUGUCUUAAAAGUUUGUUUCCAGCAUCGGUAGCCAAAGAUCUUGCAAGACUUGAAGUGCUUGAGGUAAAUGACUGUCGGGAAUUGGCAGAAAUAGUUAAGGAUGAAAAGGAUGAGGAAGGAGAAGGAACAACACAUGAGUCUGUGUUUCCUUGUCUCACCACGUUGAUUCUAGAAGAAUUGCAAGACCUCAAAUAUUCUAUCCACUCCAAACAACAGGUGAGUACAUCAAAUUUGAGUGAGAGAGAUAUUCAAGAGUUAUGUCUUGGCUCACGGUGCAUUCCAAACUCCUACUUCAGUCUCUUGGAAUCACUAAUUCUGGAUGGUUGCCAGUUUUUAUCAGAUGUACUGCUACCGUUCAAUUUACUUCCUUUCUUAACUAAUUUAGAAACGUUGGAAGUUCGAUACUGUGAUUCUGUUAAAACCAUCUUUGAUGUUAAAUGUACAACACAAGACAGAGAAGUGGCAUCUAUGGGACCAACCCUUCCUUUUUCCUUGAACAAAUUGACUUUAUUCAACCUGCCAAAACUGGAGAAUGUUUGCAAUGAAGAUCAUUGUUCUCCCUUUGUGAGAUCAUUGGAUGUUCAGCGUGUGCCCAACUUGAAGUAUUUUUACUACAGCUCACAGUAUUGUGAAAUUUUUACAGAUCUAGAAUCACAUGCCGAGAAUCAAGUCGGUACUGAAAAGUUAUUCAAGUGUUUGUCACUGUGGGAAAAUGGAGUAAAUAUGAUUUUGCGAGGGGAAUUUGAGAGAAACCUCUUAGACAGUUUAAAAGCUCUUACUCUCUGCUUUGGUUCGGAUGUAUUUCGAUGUAAAAUUCUUGAACAGGUUCCGAAUAUAGAGAAACUUGAGGUGCGUGAUUGUUCCUUCAAGCAGAUGUUCUGUUGUGAAAGUCUUAAUAAUGUGCUACAGAAGCUGAAAGUAUUACGGUUGGAGUCCCUCAGAGAGAUGGUUUCCAUUGGGCUAGAGAAGUCUUGGAGUGAUUCCUUUGUCAGAAACUUAGAAAUCUUUGAAGUCAUUAAUUGUAGGAGUUUAAAAAACUUGGUAGCGUGCACAGUGUCUUUCUCCAAUCUGACGUGUUUGAAAGUAAAUGAUUGCGGUAGCUUAUCAUAUUUGUUAACAUCCUCAACAGCGAAGCGUUUGGGUAAACUCAAAAGAAUGGAGAUAAAGGAUUGUUCUUCAAUUGAAGAGAUAGUUUGUAAGGAAGAUGGGGAGGAAUCAGAUGAGGAUGAGAUAAUAUUUCCGCAGCUCACUUGUUUGAAUCUUGAUAAUUUAUUGAAUCUAAAAAGGUUCUACGGAGGGAGUUUAGGUUUCCCAUCCUUGGAGGAACUUUCAGUAACAUAUUGCAACAAAAUGAUAACUUUAGGUGUGGGUACUAUUGUGGCAGGCAAAUUGUGUCAAGUUAAAGUUGGUGAGUUCUCAGAUGCAAUUCAAUUGAAAACCGAGCUCAACUCUACUACGAGGAAAGAAUAUCUGAAAAAGAUUGCAUCGAAAUGGAGUCUUGAAUUGACAGAAAGGGCAGACCUAGAAGAGAUAUGGUGUCUCUCACUGCAGAUACCCCACUUUUCUUUCACUGACUUGAAAACCUUGAUUGUCAAUAAAUGCAAAAUUCCAUCUGACGCAGUGCUACCUUUCACUUUACUUCCUUUAUUACCUAAAUUAGAAACAUUGAAAGUUCAAAACUGUGAUUCUGUGAAAAUCAUAUUUGAUAUCAAAUGUACAACACAAGAUACAACUACUUUUUCUCUAAAGAAAUUAGUGUUACGGAAGCUGCCAAAUCUGGAAACAGUUUGUAGUGAAGUUAAAGAGGCUAAUCCAGCUCAUCCAGAAGGAAGAAAUCCUAAGCUUAUCCUCCCCUGUGUGACGUCAUUGGCACUAUCGGAUUUGCCCAACUUUGAACAUAAUAGUAUACAUUACAUUCAUGAUGAUGCAGCACCAACAUUUGAGUUGCAGCUAAUUAUACCCAACUUAGAGCAUCUGACAGUGGGUAAAAAUGAAUUAAAGAAGAUUGUGGACGGAGAAUUUCAGAGAAAUCUUUUACACAAAUUAAAAGUUCUCGGUCUGUGCUUUGAUAUUGAGUGUGAUGAAUUUCCGGAGUAUGGAUUUCUACAACAGUUGCCAAAUGUAAAGAAGCUUGUGGUGUGGAGUAGUUCAUUCAAGGUUAUUUUCUGCCAUCAAAGACCUAAUAAUAAUGAACUUCUAUUACAGCUGAAUGAAUUACGGUUGGAGUCCCUUGGAGAGCUAGUUUCCGUUGGAUUAGAGAACUCAUGGACUGAGUCCUUUGUCAGAAAUCUAGAAACUUUUGAAGUCAUUAGAUGUUCCCGUUUGGAAAACUUGGUAACAUGCACAAUGUCUUUCUCAAACCUGACAUGUUUAAAUGUAGAAAAUUGUGAUGGCUUAUCAUAUUUGUUCACAUCCUCAACAGCCAAAAGUUUGGGUCAACUUCAAAGAAUGGAGAUAAAACAGUGUAAAUCAAUUAAAGAAAUAGUAUCGAAAGAAAGCGAGGAAUCAGAUGAGGAUGAGAUAAUAUUUUCGCAGCUCAGUUGUUUAAAACUUGAUAAGUUAUUGAAUCUCCAAUGGUUUUACAGAGGCAGUUUAAGUUUCCCAUCCUUACAACAAUUAUCAGUGACAUUAUGUACAGAGAUGGUAACUUUAUGUCCAAGUACGCUAAAAGCAGAAAAGUUGUCUCAAGCAACAAUUGGAAACAAAGACGUUAUUCUAGUGGAAACUGAUCUCUACACUACUAUGCAGAAGGAAUUUGGGAGAAAGGUGCAGACGCAAAGGCAAUCGGUGAUUGAUCUAAAAAGUAGACGAGGACUACAUGAGAUAUGGCGUGGCUCACUGUCUAUACCCAACUUCUGUUUCAGUGGGUUGGUCACAUUGAUUGUGGAAGACUGCCCGUUUUUAUCAGAUGCAGUGCUACCUUUCCAUUUACUUUCUUUAUUACCCAAAUUAAAAACAUUAGAAGUUCGAAACUGUGAUUAUGUCAAAACCAUAUUUGAUGUCAAAUGUACUACAAAAGCCACAUCAAUUACUUUUCCUCUCCAGAAAUUGGUUUUAUCGAAGUUGACAAAUCUGAAGAACGUUUGGAAUGAAGAUCCUCGUGGAAUUCUAGGCAUGCCCAGUCUAGAAAAAGUGUUUGUCGAUACAUGCAAAUGCCUUAAAGGCGUGUUUCCAGCAUCAAUAGCCAAAGAGCUUGUGAAACUUGAAGAUCUGGUAGUGGAAGACUGUGAGGGAUUGAUGGCAAUUAUUGCAGAUGAAUCUCAUGAGAAUCAAGAAACUAUAUUUGAGCGACUUCGGGUUUUGGAUCUUAAAAGAUUAAAAGAACUGACGUGCUUUUGCGUUGGCAACUUCACUUUAAGUUUUCCAUCUUUAGAGGAAGUCCACGUCAUCAAGUGCAGUUCCAUGAAAACUUUCAGUGCGGUCACCAAAAUAGAUAAUCCGACAAAGUGGUAUUAUUCAGAAUAUGAGAGACCCCGAAAGGAAACUGACCUUAAUUCCGCUCUGCACAGAAAUUUUGAAGAAGAGGCUCCCGAUGCUUCUAGGGCCAUCAUUUCAGUUCUUUAAUAGUUCAGAUUCAGAUAUUGAUGGAGACAAUGAACACGAUGAUGAUUAAUUAGAAGCAGUUUUUCACAGCAUAACAUGAUGGUUACGUAAGAUUAGUAAUUAAGAGGAGAUUGAAGGCAUAAAGAAUGGAUGAAAAUGAAGAAGAAAUACAUUAUUAUUUGUAUUAUAUACUGUGUGAGAUUAAAAGUGAUGAACAGUCAUGAAUUUGAUUAAGAGUGAAGUGACGAACUGUGUCACUAAAUAUAUUGACUAUUUGCAUGUGCUUAUGCUGGUUUAAAAACACAAAUGUAAGAUUAUAUUCAUUUUCUGUUAAUUUUAUCUUCACGUGA
Non-coding RNA from Vigna umbellata (rice bean), 9461 nucleotides. The record is from RefSeq and is a predicted model, not a curated record. NCBI's taxonomy places the organism in Eukaryota, Viridiplantae, Streptophyta, Magnoliopsida, Fabales, Fabaceae.